AUGCUGAAAUCGAUGAGGAUCAUACUAGCUAUAGCUGCAUAUUUUGAUUACGAGAUAUGGCAGAUGGAUGUCAAAACGGCUUUCCUUCACGGAAAUUUAACUGAGGACGUGUAUAUGAUACAGCCCGAGGGUUUUGUCGAUCCGACUAGCACUAGUAAGGUAUGCAAGCUCAAGAGAUCCAUUUAUGGGUUGAAGCAAGCAUCUCGGAGUUGGAACAUUCGUUUUGAUGAGGUCGUCACUGGUCUCGGUUUCAUCAAAAGAGAAGAGGACUCUUGUUUGUACAAGAAGUUAAGUGGGAGCUCGAUAGUGUUUUUGAUCUUGUAUGUGGAUGACAUACUACUGGUCGGGAACAAUGUUUCGAUGCUGAACUCGGUCAAGGGAUCAUUGAAUGGCAAGUUUUCGAUGAAAGACCUUGGUGAAGCAGUGUAUAUUUUAGGCAUUAAGAUCUAUAGAGAUAGAUCGAGGAGGCUGCUCGGUUUAAGCCAGAGCACGUACAUAGAUAAAGUGUUGAAGCAGUUCAACAUGAGUGAGGCGAAGAAAGGGUUCUUGCCGCUCUCACAUGGUAUAAGGCUAAGCGAGACUCAGAGUCCUUCGACAUCUGAUGAGCGAAGCAGGAUGAGUAGGAUUCCGUAUGCCUCGGCAAUCGGAUCCAUCAUGUAUGCCAUGAUAUGUACAAGGCCUGGUGUUGCUUUUUCAAUAAGCAUAACAAGUAGAUACCAGGAAAACCCAGGUGAGAGUCACUGGGCAGCGGUAAAGACUAUUUUGAAGUAUCUGAAAAGGACUAAAGAGAUGUUCCUAGUUUAUGGAGGUGGGGAAGGGCUCGUCGUAAGGGGUUACGCCGAUGCUAGUUUCCAAACCGACAGAGAUGAUUGUCGAUCACAGUCCGGAUUCGAGUACGUCCUGAACGGAGGAGCAGUGCACUGGAUGAGUUCCAAGCAGGAUACGUUGGCCGAUUCUACCACAGAAGCCGAAUACAUUGCGGCUUGUGAAGAUGCAAAGGAAGGUGUUUGGAUCCGGCAUUUUCUGGAUGAUCUUGCUAUUUUCCCAGCCUCGGUGAAACCGUUGGACCUUUAUUGUGAUAAUUCUGGUGCCAGCACACAAGCCAAGGAGCCGAGGAAUCACCACAAGGUCAGACAUAUAGAUCGGAAAUAUCACCUGAUACGAAAGAUCGUAAAGAAUGGUGAUGUAGAGUUAUGUAAGAUUCACACGGAUGCAAAUGUUGCAGAUCCGUUGACUAAGCCGCUUCCACAACCCAAGCAUGAGGGGCACGUUAGAGCUAUGUGCAUUUGA
RNAcentral lists this ribosomal RNA (1290 nucleotides) under Triticum aestivum (bread wheat). Its description in RNAcentral is "partial small subunit ribosomal RNA". Lineage: Eukaryota; Viridiplantae; Streptophyta; Magnoliopsida; Poales; Poaceae. The record is from RNAcentral.